This 462-nucleotide long non-coding RNA is filed under the name Triticum aestivum (bread wheat). RNAcentral's name for it is "long non-coding RNA (TAES_LNC000439)". Lineage: Eukaryota; Viridiplantae; Streptophyta; Magnoliopsida; Poales; Poaceae. The record is from RNAcentral.
AAGCAACAGAUGAAAAAAUAUUAAAGUUGAGAUAAAUACCUGGGCACAAUUUAUUAUUAAACCAGAGCACAGGAAUGCUCAUUUCAGUACAAGAUUAGACAGGAUCGCAAGCACAAGCCUGAACAAUCAACACGAGGAGACAUCACAAGAACACACACUCGUACAGGCACACAUCAGGGGGGACACACCUCGGCUUAUUUCGCGACGAACGAGCGCCAGAAACUAAGAUCAUGGCUUCAUCAGCGCAGCGACCUUCUGGACGGACGGCCUCGCCAACAGGUCAGUCCACCAGGCCUUCACAUGCGGGUACGCGUCGAACAGAGAUGCGUAGGGUGUAGCCGCCAAGCACAGGGUGACAGACACAUGGUUAAGGUCCGCAAGACUGAGGGAGUCUCCAGCCAGGUACUUGGACUUGCUCAGGUGCGCCUCGUACACUGCCAGCACGUUCUUGAUCUUAACAAG